RNAcentral lists this long non-coding RNA (1457 nucleotides) under Musa acuminata (dwarf banana). RNAcentral describes it as "long non-coding RNA (MACU_LNC004773)". Lineage: Eukaryota; Viridiplantae; Streptophyta; Magnoliopsida; Zingiberales; Musaceae. The record is from RNAcentral.
ACAUUUAUAUGGUACAAAUAAGCAAACACAUAGGCAUAUGCAUUUGCAUUUCUACAUAAUCCGGAAGUACAGCAUAACCAUUUAUUAGGGCCACAUAGGCCUUGUUCAGCACUGUCAGAUGAAGAUGCAGAUCAUGGGGUCUACAUCAGACAACUUAGACUAAUUUGUUGAAUGAUAUCUAAUCUUAGUUAAAUAAGAAUAUUUACCCAAAUUAGGCUUCUGCUAUGAUUGAAAAUAAUUAACUAACUCACCAUGUAAAUCUAUUACCACAAACUAAAACAAAUAACAAUAACAAGUUAAACUUAAUCAUAUAAAAAAUCCAUCACACAUGUUGAUAGCACAUGCCUCUCAUCAUGAUUUUGUUCCAAAUUCCACUAUCUAGCUCUCCUACUAUUGCUCUAAUUUACCCAAAUUCCAUACAUAAAUUAACUAAAUUAGUAAGAUUGGUAAAAGAAUAAUAACAAUGUUUUUUAUGAAUAUUAACAAUUCAAAAAGUUGCUUUGACAUGAACUUAAAGGUUAUAAAAAGUUGCUUUGACAUGAACUUAAAGGUUAUAAAAAGUUGGUUCGACAUGAACCAAAAGGUUAUAAAAGCCCAUCAUACAGUUGUGUGAUCAUAAGAGUGAACUAUGGGGAACAUCAUAAUCCUUCCUCUUGUUUAUUUAGGUCAUCCUCUCUCUGUCCUACAUGAAAAAGGGACCAAACCUUUUUGAACUUGCUAGAGACUACCUCAACUACAGCUCACUGUGUGCAUUUUUCAACUCAAUCCCAUUUAGCCACGUCUUGAUCAGAAUGCGAGCAAAAUGCAAGCAUGACCCUUUCAUUUUACAAGUUGAGUUGGGCCCCUUAAUUGGCUGACCAGUUGAUACCCCUUACCAAUUGAGACAUAACAACAGAUCAGUGGCUGAUUAGAAGUGGCAUGAGGUUAUCGAUGCUCAUCCAGUGGCCGAAGCCACGACAUCUCAUGGGACAAAACUAGUAUAAAUAAUAUGCAUGGACAUAAGAAUGAUUCACGGCUACGGAGUUCGGUCUUGGGCUUUGACGAGGUGGAAAUUAUGAGACCACAAGGAGGAUUGAGUUUAUAAAGAUCGAGGAGUCUAAUACUGUAACUAAAAACAACAAUUUUGGCAAGUGGUUCAACUCAUAAAGUUAAAUAGUAAUUAUCGCAUCAGUUGGGAUCGACAUAAAACCCCAUGAUGUCAAAAGGAGCUAAGAAGGUUAGGUUACAAGAUCCAAAAACAUCAACAGUGCACAAAUUCUAAUUCAAGAAAAGAAGAUGUAUACCGACUUAUGUGUCACGCGACCCUAAACCCCUAACAUUAUCAAGAAACGGAAAGGUUUCCCUUAUGCAUCUGAUCGGGGCCGAGACACGCAACAUCCUGAAUAAAUAACAUAGGUUUCCCACUCCUUCGUUCUUAGGAUUCGAGCUCACGCAAUCAUCCUGUACGAUUGCAAAAG